AUCUAAAUAGCUUAUAUAGAGUGUAACACUGAAGAUGUUAAGGAAAUUUAUUAAUUUUUAGAUA
This 64-nucleotide transfer RNA is filed under the name Ranacris albicornis. RNAcentral's name for it is "tRNA-Phe". Lineage: Eukaryota; Metazoa; Arthropoda; Insecta; Orthoptera; Acrididae. The record is from RNAcentral.